GCGCCCAUAGCUCAGAUGGAUAGAGUACUUGGCUACGAACCAAGGGGUCGGGCGUUCGAAUCGCUCUGGGCGCGCCA
Molecule: transfer RNA, 77 nt
Filed under: Accumulibacter sp.
Lineage: Bacteria; Pseudomonadati; Pseudomonadota; Betaproteobacteria
Description: tRNA-Arg
Rfam family: tRNA
About the family: Transfer RNA (tRNA) molecules are approximately 80 nucleotides in length. Their secondary structure includes four short double-helical elements and three loops (D, anti-codon, and T loops). Further hydrogen bonds mediate the characteristic L-shaped molecular structure. tRNAs have two regions of fundamental functional importance: the anti-codon, which is responsible for specific mRNA codon recognition, and the 3' end, to which the tRNAs corresponding amino acid is attached (by aminoacyl-tRNA synthetases). tRNAs cope with the degeneracy of the genetic code in two manners: having more than one tRNA (with a specific anti-codon) for a particular amino acid; and 'wobble' base-pairing, i.e. permitting non-standard base-pairing at the 3rd anti-codon position.
Source: RNAcentral